CGAAAUUCGGUGGUCACAUUCAUCGCCAACGAGGCAUUAUCAAGGACGACGAUGCAUCGUCGCGAAGUCUAACAACUUGGAGGAGCUCGGAGUAGCGAUAUUUUGCGGUAGAAGCAGAGGCCAACAGCAGCGGUCUGUCGAGCGGUGUCAGUCAAGAUGUGUGACCGACGGAAACAGACCUGGGCUGCCGUUUUCAUCGGCAAUGUGUUGAUCCACACCGUUGCUAUCGCCAGUCCGAUCUAUGUUCCUCAAUUUCAACCAGGAAGCACGGGAAGAAACAUCAGGCACUUACCCUGCGUGUCACGCAGGAGCGGCGAGACCGGCGUGUGCAUGUUCGCGUUUACCUGCGCGAAGGCUAAUGGCACGCAUCUCGGCACCUGCAUCGAUCGCUUCUACUUCGGUAGCUGUUGCAAGAUCGACGACGAGCCGGACAUCUUCCCGCAGGACAACAGCAUCGACGAUGGUCCACCGCCGCCAAGGCCGUUCAUCACGACGCACGGACCUAGCGGGAGUAGCGGCAUACCGGAAUACUUCGCGAGGCCCAAGCCGACCGACGCGAAGAAACCGGCCGAAGCUUCGCAAAUCACGACAACACCUAUCUUUUUGAGUACGCAAAGUACUCAAACUUCGGCGAAUACGAUGAAAGAUGCAACCAAGUUUAUAACAAAGAAACCAACGAUUACGACGAUAGAAAUGACUACGCAGACUACUCGCCUCUCAACGUUCCAAACCGUGCAAAGUACUGGCCCGAGUACAGAAGCCACGUCAUUAAAAAAGACCAACAGUACUGUAAAUAUGCCAUCAAGUAUAUCAUCAAGUACGACAGGACAACCUACGAAGCCGUCCACUUUGGCCUCUACCCUACGACCUAACGGCGGGAAUAUAACAAAACUGACAUCUACCACAACAGUUUCGAAACCGACAACGAAGAAACCUGUUGUCUCUACGACCACAGUGCAAAGACCAACGGCGCAAGUCUCUCAGAAACCGCUCUCUUCGACUACUCGCAAGCCGAUUCUUCAAUCAACCACGACUACAAUAAAAAAUGUUCUCGCGACUACCACGCAGAAAAUAGCUCCUUCAACCAGAUUUCCACCGAGAAAUACGACGUCGGUCAAACCACUGACUCAGGCGAUCACGAGGAAACCAAGCACCAAAAGACCUAGCACCACAGUAAUAACGAAACGCCCGGUGGUGACCACGAAGAAACCGACCACAUUGACAAAGAGACCGUCGACUCCGUCGAAGCUUCCCACGAACUCCAGUUUUGGCACUACUCUGCCAGUAACGACCAAGCCUCACUCAACCUCCAGUUUGUUCAGCAGCGUGGGAUCUUCCAGUGCGAACGUCACGGAGAGUACUUUAGCUUCUACCGGGAUUAAACCAUUAACGACGACGACGAGUGCAACUAGUGAAAAAACCACCACUACGACAAAGAAUACAGAUCAGAAGACGACCACCACGAAAACGACAACGCCAAAGACAACUUCGAAAACGACAACAAAAUCAUCGACAAUCAGAACGACCACUGCCAGGCCGACGACAGUUAAAACAACGACUGGCAGCAGAACGACCACGUCUAGACCGUCGUCAUCUGCCACGACGAAGUUGAAACCCACUAAGAUUACUAGUACGACAACAAAGACUACUAAACCCGAGUAUAUCAGCACUACGACGACGGAGAGGACGAGACCUUUGUCGUCAACUGUCGGUUCAACAAUUGGCAUUACGAAACCUAGACCCAGCACGACGAAGCCAACAUCCUUGAUGAAGGUUCCUGUGAACACGUCCAGUAUAGUCGAGGUCACCACGAGUAUCUCAAGUUCGAUAUCCACGUUUAUCGUUAAGAACGAGAGCACCUCGACCCACGUGCCUCCUACUAAGGAUCAGAAUGUUAAUCACACCCUCGAGGAGAUCCCAUUGACUACCUAUUCACCAGGAUUGGUGACGUGGAGUUCUAACUCCGAUGAAGUUUCCACGAAGGCGUCCGAAACAUCAUCGUCAACGUCAACGAUAACUACAUCGUCAGAGCAAGCGGAAACUGAUUGGUCGCCGAUAACGACCCCGGAUGGUUGGAUAAUGAUUCAGUCGCCUACCACCGAAAACUUACCGCAGACUCAAGAGUCGACGACCGAACCGGUUGCGGAAUCCACUAUACAGUCUUUGACUUCUGCCAAACCGAUAACAGAGAGCACCAUUAUGGCCAACGCCACGAAGAGACCAAUGGUGCCAUCGACCACUCUGCCGUCAACGAUCCACGGUGUUACGAUCGAUACGGAACUUCCGGUACCGAUGGAGACUCUCAAUAUGUCUGACUAUAAACAAGUGUGCGGGCGAAGGCUGUUUCCGGAACCCAAAAUCGUCGGUGGUGAUCGAAGCUCCUUCGGAAAAUGGCCUUGGCAGAUCUCAUUACGUCAAUGGCGAUCACAGACGUAUCUACACAAAUGUGGCGCGGCAUUGUUGAACGAGAACUGGGCUAUUACCGCGGCGCACUGCGUUGAAAGCGUACCACCCAGCGAUCUAUUGUUAAGAAUCGGCGAGCACGAUUUGGCGAACGAAGAUGAGCCGUAUGGCUAUCAGGAGAGAAGGGUGCAGAUCGUGGCAAGCCACCCGCAAUUCGACGCGCGUACUUUCGAGUACGAUCUUGCCCUGUUGCGAUUCUACGAACCCCUUCUGCCCUUCCAACCAAACGUUUUGCCAAUCUGUUUGCCCGACGAUGAUGAAACCUACGUUGGACGUACCGCCUAUGUUACUGGCUGGGGGAGACUUUACGAUGAGGGUCCACUGCCGUCCGUGUUACAAGAGGUUGCAGUACCGGUUAUCAAUAACAGCGUAUGCGAAGCGAUGUACAGAAAUGCGGGUUACAUUGAACAUAUCCCACACAUAUUUAUCUGUGCCGGUUGGAGGAACGGCGGAUUUGAUUCUUGUGAGGGUGACAGCGGUGGUCCAAUGGUCAUCCAAAGAGCGCGAGAUAAACGAUGGAUUCUGGCUGGAAUUAUCAGUUGGGGAAUUGGCUGCGCCGCGCCCAACCAGCCUGGCGUUUACACGCGUAUCUCGGAGUUUCGCGAAUGGAUUAAUCAGAUUCUGCAGUUCUAAGCAUCUCGGUGAAAAAGCGUGCCCACGCUCGAAAUUCGCGCUUUCAUGUUGCGCCGACUCCUACGAACGUUUGUAACGAUCGCCAGGCGGACGGACGGCACCAUCUGCCGGAGCUGCGAGCCAAGUGCAAUUUAGUGGAAAAAUAUUGAAACUUCCGGAAUGUUGCCUUCAUCUACCUAUCAUUUCCGGCUUUUACGUGCACGCAUAAUUAUCGAGUCUACAGUGCGAAAAAUAAGCAAAUUAUAAUCACUAAAUUAAUUAACACGAUUGAUAUCGCCUGAUGCACGUAAUCAACAAGUUAAAUUAGCGAAUAAAUUUAUUUCAAAUCUAGAUAAGCAUUCGCAAUAUCGGCAUUGAAAAAUUAAAGAAUAAACAUCAGAAAUUAGGUCAAUGUCCGUAUAAUUAAACUCGACAUUAAUAAACUUGCUUUAAAAAAUAAGAAUUAUCUCUGAGUAUUAUUAAAUUACAACGUUAUUGAAAAAUCCCUUAUGCUCAUUAUUCCCAUCUAAUUUAGUUAUCUUUAAUUUUACUCAGACACUUUUUACCUUAUAUUCAAGAUACGUUAGCAUAAUAUUUUUCAAACCUGUAAUAAAAGAUAGUCAAGGUUAUAAUUACGUAUUUAAAACGCUAUUGUGCCAAGAAAAAAUUGUUGUCAUAAAUAUGAAAAGAAAUGAAAAGCUCUCGCUAAUAUAUUCCAAAUUAUAAGUUCCAAAUUAUAGUUCUCGAUAUUUUCACAAAUCCAUCAUGAAACUUGUUCAAAAA
This is an unclassified non-coding RNA of Pogonomyrmex barbatus (red harvester ant), 3858 nucleotides long. The record is from RefSeq and is a predicted model, not a curated record. NCBI's taxonomy places the organism in Eukaryota, Metazoa, Arthropoda, Insecta, Hymenoptera, Formicidae.